UGGGGAAUAUUGGACAAUGGGCGAAAGCCUGAUCCAGCAAUGCCGCGUGUGUGAAGAAGGUCUUCGGAUUGUAAAGCACUUUCGACGGGGACGAUGAUGACGGUACCCGUAGAAGAAGCCCCGGNUAACUUCGUGCCGG
Molecule: ribosomal RNA, 139 nt
Filed under: uncultured bacterium
Lineage: Bacteria
Description: partial 16S ribosomal RNA
Rfam family: Bacterial small subunit ribosomal RNA
Source: RNAcentral